CAGGAUUUGGACAAAAAAAGACUGAAAUAAUAUUUUAACCUGCUUACAGGGAUUCAAACCCAUCUCUCUCAGCAGAGUGCCCUAAUCACUCUGUGGUUUAGGGAAGGAAGCACACUCCACAUGCCUACUGCUGAAAUUGCUCCAGGAUUCACUGGUGGAGGGAGAAGAACUAGGAGAGGCAGAUGGAAAACAGAUUGUAUUCCUGUGGAAAACUCCAGGAAAAUAAGAAAUAUUUUAUGUCAUUGCUGUAUUCCAACUACUGCAAUUGUUUUCACCUUGUUUUACUGUUAUAUUGACCUUCACCCAAAUAUUUGCAUAGCACAAAUAUAGUAAGUAAAUUAAUUUCAAAAAGUGAGAAAUCUGAUUUCAUUCCAACCUGAGGGAAUUCAAAACCAUCCUUAUAUUUUCUGAAAAGUCUUCUAACAGACAUGCUGUUAAGAAUAUUUGAGCUUUGGUGCUAAUAGAAAAUGAAGGCAUAUAGAAAUUUUAAGAAAAUUGAGUCAUUGAAGCUGGGGCUCUACAACCAGUGAUGCAGAACCCAGGGAUCCAGAAGCACAGCAUCCCAGCAGCUGCCCUGCAGAGAAAAUAAAUAUGUGGACCCCUACCUGAACA
Molecule: long non-coding RNA, 612 nt
Filed under: Cyanistes caeruleus (blue tit)
Lineage: Eukaryota; Metazoa; Chordata; Aves; Passeriformes; Paridae
Description: lncRNA (ENSCCEG00000011251.1)
Source: RNAcentral